UACGUAGGGGCCUAGCGUUGUCCGGAUUUAUUGGGCGUAAAGAGCUCGUAGGCGGUUCGGUAAGUCAGGUGUGAAAUCUCCACGCUCAACGUGGAGGGGCCACCUGAUACUGCCGUGACUCGAGUCCGGUAGGGGAGUGUGGAAUUCCCGGUGUAGCGGUGAAAUGCGCAGAUAUCAGGAGGAACACCGGUGGCGAAGGCGGGUCUCUGGACAGUUCCUGACGCUGAGGCACGAAGGCCAGGGGAGCAAACGGG
This 254-nucleotide ribosomal RNA is filed under the name uncultured bacterium. RNAcentral's name for it is "partial 16S ribosomal RNA". It matches the Rfam family "Bacterial small subunit ribosomal RNA", at positions 524 to 776 of the family's 1533-position model. The record is from RNAcentral.